GUGGGGAAUAUUGGACAAUGGGCGAAAGCCUGAUCCAGCCAUGCCGCGUGUGUGAAGAAGGUCUUCGGAUUGUAAAGCACUUUAAGUUGGGAGGAAGGGCAGUAAGUUAAUACCUUGCUGUUUUGACGUUACCGACAGAAUAAGCACCGGCUAACUUCGUGCCAGCAGCCGCGGUAAUACGAAGGGUGCAAGCGUUAAUCGGAAUUACUGGGCGUAAAGCGCGCGUAGGUGGUUUUGUAAGUUGGAGGUGAAAUCCCCGGGCUCAACCUGGGAACUGCCUCCAAAACUGCAUGACUAGAGUACGGUAGAGGGUAGUUGAAUUUCCUGUGUAGCGGUGAAAUGCGUAGAUAUAGGAAGGAACACCAGUGGCGAAGGCGACUACCUGGACUGAUACUGACACUGAGGUGCGAAAGCGUGGGGAGCAAACAGGAUUAGAUACCCGAGUAGUCC
This 450-nucleotide ribosomal RNA is filed under the name uncultured bacterium. RNAcentral's name for it is "partial 16S ribosomal RNA". It matches the Rfam family "Bacterial small subunit ribosomal RNA", at positions 354 to 796 of the family's 1533-position model. The record is from RNAcentral.